This 1009-nucleotide non-coding RNA is filed under the name Segatella maculosa OT 289. RNAcentral describes it as "Prevotella maculosa OT 289 Bacterial large subunit ribosomal RNA". It matches the Rfam family "Bacterial large subunit ribosomal RNA", at positions 692 to 1685 of the family's 2925-position model. The record is from Rfam by way of RNAcentral. Lineage: Bacteria; Pseudomonadati; Bacteroidota; Bacteroidia; Bacteroidales; Prevotellaceae.
GUCAGAAGUCAGUGGUGGUAGACGCGAAACCAAGUGAUCUACACUUGACCAGGUUGAAGUUCCGGUAACACGGAAUGGAGGACCGCACCGAUAAGCGUUGAAAAGCUUCCGGAUGAGUUGAGUGUAGGAGUGAAAGGCCAAUCAAACUUGGAGAUAGCUCGUACUCCCCGAAAGGCAUUUAGGUGCCGCGUGUGGCGAUCUCCGUGAGAGGUAGAGCGACCGAUAGGUCAAGAGGGCUUCACCGCCUAUCGCGACCUGACGAACUCCGAAUGCUCACGGACCGCAGCCAUGCAGUAAGGGGGCGGGUGCUAAGGUCCGUCCCCGAGAGGAGAAGAAUCCGGACCGCCGACUAAGGCCCCGAAAUUCUGCCUGAGUUAGUCUAACGAAGUCCGGUCCCCGUGACAGCCAGGAUGUUGGCUUGGAAGCAGCCAUUCAUUCAAAGAGUGCGUAACAGCUCACUGGUCGAGGGUCCGGGCGUGGAUAAUAAUCGGGUAUAAGGCAGAUGCCGAAGUCGCGGGAUAGCAUUGUAUAUAAAAAGUAUCGGUAGGGGAGCAUUCCAUGUGCGUCGAAUGGUGUACGCGAGUUAUCCUGGAGCGCAUGGAAACGCAAAUGUAGGUAUAAGUAACGAUAAGAGGGGUUAGAUUCCCCUCCGCCAUAAGUCUAAGGUUUCCCGGGCAAUGCCAAUCAGCCCGGGGUAAGUCGGGUCCUAAGUCUCAGCCGAACGGCGAGGGCGAUGGCAGAAACGGUUAAUAUUCCGUUACUACCUAGUGGAGCGACGUGGAGACGGAGUAGUGACACUGCCGCGGGGCGACGGAAGUCCCCGUUGAAGAGUGUAGGCGCCGAUGAGGGCAGGCAAAUCCACCCUCAGAGCCGACCUUGAUAGUACGGCAACCCCCUGGGGGGUAGCCGAUAGUGCAGGUAAUCAGACUUCCUAGAAAAUCCGCUAAGCUUGAUCCAUUGGGUACCCGUACCGCAAUCCGACACAGGUAGACGGGUAGAACAUACUGAG